GCGGACGAGGACGGACAGGCGCGAACCCCUCGAGGCCGACUUGUAAUCGGGCGGUUGGGAGUUCGAGUCUCCCCGUCGGCU
RNAcentral lists this transfer RNA (81 nucleotides) under Sporichthyaceae bacterium. RNAcentral describes it as "tRNA-Thr". Lineage: Bacteria; Bacillati; Actinomycetota; Actinomycetes; Sporichthyales; Sporichthyaceae. The record is from RNAcentral.